GCUGGCGCUGGGGGACGCCUGGCGGCGCGCUUGGGCGGCGCGGCGGCGAUGGCGGGCUUUGCGACAGGCGGGGUUCGACGCCGCCGCGGCGGUGC
This 95-nucleotide transfer RNA is filed under the name Methylogaea oryzae. RNAcentral's name for it is "tRNA-Pro". Lineage: Bacteria; Pseudomonadati; Pseudomonadota; Gammaproteobacteria; Methylococcales; Methylococcaceae. The record is from RNAcentral.